RNAcentral lists this long non-coding RNA (752 nucleotides) under Heterocephalus glaber (naked mole-rat). RNAcentral's name for it is "lncRNA (ENSHGLG00100039635.1)". The record is from RNAcentral. Lineage: Eukaryota; Metazoa; Chordata; Mammalia; Rodentia; Bathyergidae.
GUUAGUGAGUUAUUUGCCGCUAUCUCAGUGGGUAGGAAGAGGGGCCCUGAACACUGAGAUGAUUACUCAAUUGCGUCUGGGAGCUUCCCACAUUUCCCCGUCGGUGCUGGGCUCUCGGGAUAUUGGCAAGCAGAGUCUCGGGGCUCUUGGCGCGCCGAUCGGUUUGGGGCUCUUCUCUGGGUGCAACAGGUCUGUUGAACCUGGAACCGAGAGGGGAGCAGCCGAGGUGACGUGGAGGGGCGGAGGGGCUGGGGGAGGCUGGUUUCCAAGAGCCGCACUCCCGAGGUUGGGGAGCGCGUGCCCGUCUCCCCGCAGAGCGAGACGCCCGCGGCUGGAUGCAAACCAGAGGUCCCUACAACUCCGGCUGGCGAACCGCAGGUGGGAGCUCUCGGCUGCCAGGCUCCGGACAGGCCCCCCAGCUCACCCCACUUCAGCUUCGUGGCCGCAAGAGCCGCCAGAGUGGGAGACAGGUCUGUAGUUCCGACAAGGUCCGCUCCAGUGUCGACGCGGUGGACACGGCUGCGGGGGCCAGGGGACAACAGCUGCUUUAAAGCCGGGAGCAACCCACAGGUGGCCUGUCAGGGAAACGGACGUCCGUGACGUCAUCCUGAAGCCACCUUCACAGGCCAGACGUGGCUCACUUCCGGAGAGCGUACCCCACUCCUGCACCACUGCGGUGCCACAACUUGCACUCCAAGAGCCACCUGGCCCGAUCCUCACCUGUCAGGGUGGACAGACCGAGUCUCUAAAGC